UUGGGUGCACCACACGCUAAAGUACGGCAGGAGAUUUUGCGACUGGUUUUGAAGUCUGGUCAGCGGUGUACGGCAGGCGGGAUUCCUCAAGUCUGCCGGUCGCGUUUCCACGAGUUCUUGGAGUUGGCUGAGGAAACAACACGUGCAAUAAAACAGCACAGUCAUGCCAGUCAGAGUGCCUUUAACCCCAGAUUGAAAUGCAGGCUUUACCUGGAAGUAAUAUUCGUGUUUCAAACACAGAUGUGAUCGUGAUGUUGUGGAAGUGCAGCAGGUGUAAUUGGUUAUUGAUGAAAGGCUAUCAGGGACAGGGAAUAACCUACUUUGAAUUAAGGAGAAUAAAUCAGCUUUAAUAACAGAAACAACAUCCGAAGAAUCCGACCCUUCCUCACCAACUACGCCACCCAGCUCCUGGUCCAGGCCUUGGUACUCUCCCGCCUAGACUACUGCAACUUCCUCCUGGCUUGCCUCCCUGCAUCCGCCACCCGUCCGCUCCAGCUCAUCCAGAACUCUGCUGCUCGCCUGGUGUUCUCUCUGCCUCGCUUCGCCCACGCUACUCCACUACUCUGCUCACUCCACUGGCUCCCGAUCACCGCUCGCAUCCAGUUCAAGACUCUUCUACUAGCCUACAGAUGCCUUGACCAGACUGCACCCAGCUACCUCCAGACCCUCAUCUCUCCCUACACCCCCACUCGACCUCUCCGCUCUGCCUGCACUAGAAGACUGGCUCUACCUCCUCUACGCUCCCCUGCCUCCAGAGCCCGCUCCUUCUCCACCCUCACUCCGCAGUGGUGGAAUGACCAUCCUACAGAUGUCAGGACUGCCCAGUCCCUGACCACAUUCCGGCGCCUCCUUAAGACUCACCUCUUCAGACAGCACCUGUAGAACUCCUUUGUUUUUCCCCUGGGACACUAUCACCCUUCCUUAAAUGCGCUUUACUUGCUCUUAUCUGCCCCCUAUUUUACUGCAUUUAAUCCUGUACUUCAGAGUACUGUAAUCUGCCAAGUGUUUAAUCUGUAGUAUUUUGUAUUUAAUCAUAUCUUGAUGUAACUGUUACUGUUAUCUUCUGUAUUAUUGAAUUGUAUUUUGUCACACUUGUACUUACUUGAACCAAAGUCAUUGUAUUUAUCUUGCUCUUAUUGUAUUACUUGUACUGUAACACUUGAA
Acipenser ruthenus (sterlet) is the source of this 1164-nucleotide long non-coding RNA. RefSeq lists it as uncharacterized. NCBI's taxonomy places the organism in Eukaryota, Metazoa, Chordata, Actinopteri, Acipenseriformes, Acipenseridae. The transcript has 3 exons. The record is from RefSeq and is a predicted model, not a curated record.